AACGGCCAUACCAUGCUGAAUAUACCGGUUCUCGUUAGAUCACCGAAGUCAAGCAUCAUUGGGCGCGGUCAGUACUUGGGUGGGUGACCGCCUGGGAACACUGCGUGCCGUU
RNAcentral lists this ribosomal RNA (112 nucleotides) under Caerostris darwini. The record is from RNAcentral. Lineage: Eukaryota; Metazoa; Arthropoda; Arachnida; Araneae; Araneidae.